Molecule: non-coding RNA, 363 nt
Organism: Alligator mississippiensis (American alligator)
Lineage: Eukaryota; Metazoa; Chordata; Crocodylia; Alligatoridae
Source: the annotation of a RefSeq genome assembly
AUGGGCCCUUUGCUCCUGUCCCUCCUGCUCUUGGCCACUGCCUCAGGUGUCUGCUCCCAGGUUCAGCUACUCCAGCCAGGGGCAGCCCAGGAAAAGCCCUCAGGGACCCUGAGACUCACUUGUACAGUGUCUGGAUUCUCCCUCACCGCUAGUGGAUAUGGAGUAGGCUGGAUCCGACAGCCUCCAGGGAAAGCCCUGGAGUGGCUGUGUACUGUGUACUGGAAUGAUGAUAAAUAUUACCAGGACUCCCUGAAGUCCCGCCUGACCAUCUCCAGGGACACAUCCAAAAGCGAGGUGUAUUUGGAGCUGAGAGGUCUGGAAGCUGGAGACAGCAGCACCUACUACUGUGCUGGAGCACAGUGA